UACGAAGGGGGCUAGCGUUGUUCGGAAUUACUGGGCGUAAAGCGCGCGCAGGCGGUCUUCCAAGUCAGUGGUGAAAGCCUGGAGCUCAACUCCAGAACUGCCAUUGAAACUGUUAGACUUGAGUACGAGAGAGGUGAGUGGAAUUCCCGGUGUAGCGGUGGAAUGCGUAGAGAUCGGGAAGAACAUCAGUGGCGAAGGCGGCCUGCUGGGCUGUUGCUGACGCUGAGGCGCGACAGCGUGGGGAGCAAACAGG
This 253-nucleotide ribosomal RNA is filed under the name uncultured bacterium. RNAcentral describes it as "partial 16S ribosomal RNA". It matches the Rfam family "Bacterial small subunit ribosomal RNA", at positions 524 to 776 of the family's 1533-position model. The record is from RNAcentral.